Condylostylus longicornis is the source of this 296-nucleotide long non-coding RNA. RefSeq lists it as uncharacterized. NCBI's taxonomy places the organism in Eukaryota, Metazoa, Arthropoda, Insecta, Diptera, Dolichopodidae. The transcript is spliced from 2 exons. The record is from RefSeq and is a predicted model, not a curated record.
AUUAAAUUUGAAGCGAUUCGUUGUGUCUGAAAUUAAUUCAAAAUGAAGUUUUUCAACUUAUUUUUCGGUGUAAUUGCUGCUAUCUUAUUUGUAUUUGCAGGAGUCAAUGCAAGUGACAGUUGCCUUGAACGUGGCAGUACAUGUGAGAGUGACUCAGACUGUUGUUCUAAUUUCUGCUUGUCUUUCACUCAUUCAUGUGUUGGCGAUGACUCUAAAUAAAAAUUCGACCAAUGUAAUUGUAAUCAAAUUAAUUAAUUAAUUAAAAAUUUUGAACAUUAAAAAUUAUUGUUUCAUUA